RNAcentral lists this small nuclear RNA (115 nucleotides) under Oryza punctata. Its description in RNAcentral is "snRNA U5". It matches the Rfam family "U5 spliceosomal RNA". Rfam says of the family: U5 RNA is a component of both types of known spliceosome. The record is from Rfam by way of RNAcentral. Lineage: Eukaryota; Viridiplantae; Streptophyta; Magnoliopsida; Poales; Poaceae.
AGCUGCGUGGUGAGCACAAAGCGAACUAUUCUUUCGCCUUUUACUAAAGAAUACCGUGUGCGCGCCAAAUCAAGCAGCAUACCUUUUGGAGGGCGCUUUUCCCAUUUGGAAAGGC